GAUGAACGCUGGCGGCGUGCCUAAUACAUGCAAGUCGAGCGAACGGACGAGAAGCUUGCUCCUCUGAUGUUAGCGGCGGACGGGUGAGUAACACGUGGAUAACCUACCUAUAAGACUGGGAUAACUUCGGGAAACCGGAGCUAAUACCGGAUAAUAUUUUGAACCGCAUGGUUCAAUAGUGAAAGACGGUUUUGCUGUCACUUAUAGCUGGAUCCGCGCUGCAUUAGCUAGUUGGUAAGGUAACGGCUUACCAAGGCAACGAUGCAUAGCCGACCUGAGAGGGUGAUCGGACACACUGGAACUGAGACACGGUCCAGACUCCUACGGGAGGCAGCAGUAGGGAAUCUUCCGCAAUGGGCGAAAGCCUGACGGAGCAACGCCGCGUGAGUGAUGAAGGUCUUCGGAUCGUAAAACUCUGUUAUUAGGGAAGAACAUAUGUGUAAGUAACUGUGCACGUCUUGACGGUACCUAAUCAGAAAGCCACGGCUAACUACGUG
This 497-nucleotide ribosomal RNA is filed under the name uncultured bacterium. RNAcentral describes it as "partial 16S ribosomal RNA". It matches the Rfam family "Bacterial small subunit ribosomal RNA", at positions 28 to 507 of the family's 1533-position model. The record is from RNAcentral.